CCCUUUUUCAAAGUUAGUUUGUCAGGGGCGGAUCCAGCCAUUUCAAAAAGAGGUUCCCAACCCAGAGGAAGGGGUUCCCAACCCAGAGGAAGGGGGUCCAACUAUAUGCUCCCAUUCAAAUGCAUUGAUCGUCCAAAAAUGGGGAUUCCAACCCUACGAAUCCCUCCCUGGAUCCGCCAAUGGUUUGUCGUUCCCUAACGAAAUAAAGAGAAUUCAAUCACGUAUAAAAAUUCAUAAAAAUAACGGAAACAUAAAAAUCAGAUACAGACAAUCUAAUUUAAAAAAUA
RNAcentral lists this long non-coding RNA (287 nucleotides) under Mytilus galloprovincialis (Mediterranean mussel). Lineage: Eukaryota; Metazoa; Mollusca; Bivalvia; Mytilida; Mytilidae. The record is from RNAcentral.